GCCAAUCAUAUCAGACCUGAGGGCGGGACUCUGUUUAUGCACGGCGAGGUAGUCGGUAGCCGAGCUGAGGACAGGAUUUAGGCUAAAAGCCCUAAACGAAACUUCCUCGACCUGUAGAUGGAAAUGAAGAGGCAGCAGCUCCGUCGGAGGCCAGUCCGAUGAGAUGUUUACCAGGGAGAGAGGGAGAAGCUGAAGGAGGCUGACAGGACUGAAGGAGCAGGUCUGGUGGAGGAAAUGACUGAUGUACCUCAAGGAGGACGACUGAUUCCACAACGCUGGCUCUGUGUAUCCAAGCGGUGAUGCAUUGCCUGGGAUUCGAGGCCAACAUUUGUAUGGAUCAGUAUCACAGUGCAACUGAACUGGAGUAAACAGUGAUGGAGUAAAGUGCUGAACUGAAGUCAUUCAUCAUCUCCACCCUGAUAACACAGACUGCACUGGGCUGUAGACACCGUUUCCCCUCAAAUGAAGGGCAUUAAUGGGGAGUUUCUCCCUCUGCUGCAGUAACAGCCUCUGCUCUUACACUGCACUCUUCAAAAACACGGUUCUUCACUAAAGGCAGUGGUUCCACUUAGAACCACGAGCUAUAUAUAGAACCACUUCAAAUGUUUAUUUAGCAACAAAUAUAGUUCAUCUAGGGUUACAAGCUUGACAUCAUAAGAGCAGAACCCUUCUGGUGCUAUGUAGAACCGUGUACAACUCUGUCUCCAUCAGUCGAAGACCCAUUAGCUCAUGCGAAAAAACAUUUUAAGCGUGAAAAUUUCUACAUGGAACUUAUGGUUCUUCGCAUCUUUGAAGAACCAUAUAGUAGAUGUUAAAUCUCCAGACUGAUCGGUGAGUUAUAUAUGGUUCUAUAUUGAGUUCUACUGUUACAAGCUCGACAUUGUAACUAUAGCAGAACUC
Molecule: long non-coding RNA, 900 nt
Organism: Pygocentrus nattereri (red-bellied piranha)
Lineage: Eukaryota; Metazoa; Chordata; Actinopteri; Characiformes; Serrasalmidae
Exons: 5
Source: RefSeq, a predicted model, not a curated record